RNAcentral lists this long non-coding RNA (452 nucleotides) under Homo sapiens (human). Its description in RNAcentral is "non-protein coding lnc-KLHL25-9:5". Lineage: Eukaryota; Metazoa; Chordata; Mammalia; Primates; Hominidae. The record is from RNAcentral.
AACCUCAGAGCAGUGCUUCUCAAAUGUUAACGUGCAUACGAUGAAUCACGUGGGCAUCUUGUUAAAAUGCAGAGUUUUGAGUCGAGGGUCUGGGGAGGGCUGAGAUUGUGCACUUCUAAGGAGAUGCCAGGUGGUGCUAAUUCUGCUGCACUGGACACCACACUUAGAGUGGCGAGGUCACUAAAUAAUAGGAGCAAAAGGAUCGUGAGAACACCGACAUCAGUGAGAAGGAGGCUGGCUGCAGAGACCAUGGGUCUUGCUCCAUUGCCCAGGUUGGAGAGCAGUGGUGUGAUCUCAACUCAUUGCAACCUUCACCUCCCAGGUUCAGGCAAUUCUCCUGCCUCAGCCUCCUGAGUGGCUGGGAUUACAGGCACAUGCCACCACGCCCAGAAUGGAGCUACCACAUGGUCAGGAGGAAGAGACUCACAAAGAAAGAUGAAGGUUGCAGAGAG